Small nucleolar RNA from Ochotona princeps (American pika), 135 nucleotides. The record is from Ensembl. NCBI's taxonomy places the organism in Eukaryota, Metazoa, Chordata, Mammalia, Lagomorpha, Ochotonidae.
UUCCAAAGUGUUGAGUUCAGUUCAGGGCUAUAUCCCUGUUCUGUUAAUUAAACUUUGGGACAUUGAAAGGGCCUAGGAGAUGACACAAUCGGAUAGAGAAUAUCAUUCUAUUCACUUAUCUCCCAGCCUACAGCU